Molecule: non-coding RNA, 73 nt
Organism: Phrynosoma platyrhinos (Desert horned lizard)
Lineage: Eukaryota; Metazoa; Chordata; Lepidosauria; Squamata; Phrynosomatidae
Source: the annotation of a GenBank genome assembly
GCCAGCAUGGUGCUGUGGUUUGGAUGCUGGACUACUACUCUGGAGAUCAGGGUUCGAUUUCCCCACGCAAGCA